UUCAUUGAACGCAGCAUUGGCUGGGUAGACUGAGAUCUGGAGAAGCCCGCCUUAGAAUGGGGUCGCUGAGAGGGUCCUGCACUGUCAGUAGACCGUCGAGAUGGUGCGAGAGGAAUCGGGUCAUCAUCAUCAUCCUCUGUCUGAAUUCUCGUUCGUGGACCCCUGCCCACUCUGAUGUACGAAGCUCGAAAGAGUGUUUCAGGCGCCAUUGUUCCAUCGGCAGGAUUAGUGGGGACAUUCCUCCGUAAUCAGAGUUGAGUCACCAAACAAGGGAAAUAAAAUCCCUUAGACAGCAGCGGUCCUUGCAAGACCAUUUCAUUAUCAAUUACCU
This 331-nucleotide long non-coding RNA is filed under the name Nicotiana benthamiana. RNAcentral's name for it is "long non-coding RNA (NBEN_LNC002390)". Lineage: Eukaryota; Viridiplantae; Streptophyta; Magnoliopsida; Solanales; Solanaceae. The record is from RNAcentral.